RNAcentral lists this long non-coding RNA (231 nucleotides) under Actinidia chinensis (golden kiwifruit). RNAcentral describes it as "long non-coding RNA (ACHI_LNC001076)". The record is from RNAcentral. Lineage: Eukaryota; Viridiplantae; Streptophyta; Magnoliopsida; Ericales; Actinidiaceae.
UUGAUAGUGGAUAUAAGUUUGUCCCAUGAAAUAGUCCCCAUUUGGUAGUUUCUAAAUAUGUAGAGCAUGUUAAGACAAAACUCAACCUUCAAAAAGGAGAAAUAGAAGCAUGAAAAAAUUGAAAUCGACAUCAUAAAAUUACCCUACAAAAUUAAUGGUAUCCCAUUUCUUGGCUGUAAAAGAUUAAUAAAAAAUAUAUAAGAUUAAUAAAAAGAACAUUGGGGGGUCAAA